Molecule: small nuclear RNA, 138 nt
Organism: Pygocentrus nattereri (red-bellied piranha)
Lineage: Eukaryota; Metazoa; Chordata; Actinopteri; Characiformes; Serrasalmidae
Gene: U4
Rfam family: U4 spliceosomal RNA
About the family: U4 small nuclear RNA (U4 snRNA) is a component of the major U2-dependent spliceosome. The structure of U4 snRNA from yeast and human has been reported. U4 snRNA presents a k-turn RNA motif in the 5p-SL related to recognition of Snu13 protein.
Source: Ensembl
AUUCUUUCCCAGAGGCAAUAUCGUAGCCUGUGAGGUUAAUCCGCGGCGCGAUCAUUGCUGAUUGAAUGCUGAUUUACCCAAUACUCAUGGUCAGUCGUGGGCUAGAGGUUAGGGGACUGGCCCUGUGACCGGAAGGUC